UUCCUCGGACGGUUUGACACUCGAGCCUGCAACGGGAACAGCCUAUUCUGGCUCCCAGCGGCCCCUGCGCCCCUCGCACGCGGAAUGAGGAGUAGAAAACAACGCACGCGUAGGUCUGCAGUGACUGCACCACUUGCUCGAGCUCUUCCCACUGCAGGAGCUCAGAACUGACAAGAACCCUGACCAAAGCAGUAACUCCUGGUUCUGCUGGUACACCUCUUGUACCUGGAGCUGGCUCUCCAUCUGGCUGAAACGUCAUCUUUAACACUUCAAAACAAGCCUAAGGAGAAAAGAUUUUGGUGAUGUGACAUGAAAAUAGACAGCACAAAUAUAGACCAGGAUAACAGAAGUUGCACAUGCUGGGUGUUGAAUCUCAUUUGGAAACCAAACCACAGUGAGAAGUCUUAUUUUAUUUGGUUCAUUUUUGCUAAUCUCCCGGAGGAUCAGGAGGUCAGUAGAUGUAAACUAGAGAUGCAUCACAGGGAUAUUCAAUCAAGGUGAUGCAACACAUAUCUAAUUGUUUUUUCAUAAUUACAAUGACUAAUAGAUAUUAACGUGAUAGUGACUCUCUUCCUAGCUUAAUAUAUGUUAACGCUAAAUUUGAAACUGGCAUCCUAAUAAAUAGGGCUU
Molecule: long non-coding RNA, 630 nt
Organism: Tympanuchus pallidicinctus (lesser prairie-chicken)
Lineage: Eukaryota; Metazoa; Chordata; Aves; Galliformes; Phasianidae
Exons: 3
Source: RefSeq, a predicted model, not a curated record